RNAcentral lists this ribosomal RNA (183 nucleotides) under Geotrichum candidum. RNAcentral describes it as "partial large subunit ribosomal RNA". It matches the Rfam family "Eukaryotic large subunit ribosomal RNA", at positions 75 to 272 of the family's 3401-position model. The record is from RNAcentral. Lineage: Eukaryota; Fungi; Ascomycota; Dipodascomycetes; Dipodascales; Dipodascaceae.
UUGCCUUAGUAACGGCGAGUGAAGCGGCAAAAGCUCAAAUUUGAAAUCGGCCACCAGGUCGAGUUGUAAUUUGUAGAUUGUAUCUUGAGAGCGGAUUAAAGUCUGUUGGAACACAGCGCCUUAGAGGGUGACAGCCCCGUAAAAUCUAUUCUCAUUGUAAGAUACUUUCGAAGAGUCGAGUUG